Molecule: long non-coding RNA, 429 nt
Organism: Pecten maximus
Lineage: Eukaryota; Metazoa; Mollusca; Bivalvia; Pectinida; Pectinidae
Exons: 3
Source: RefSeq, a predicted model, not a curated record
AGGAAAAGUUUACAUGUGUCUGCUGUGCUGGAUAUACUUCGACGUACUGCGAUAAAACGUACCAAGAUGUCAUAAAUACUACGACGCAUGAUCAACCGACAAACAUAUGUCAAUCAUCACCGUGUUCGAAUAAUGGCACGUGCGUAGUAGUAGAUACAACCUCCUUCACAUGUUUGUGUGCGGAAGGAUAUACUGGAACACAGUGUCAAAAUAUAGACCAAUGCACACCAAAUCCUUGCGCGUUUGGUAUCUGCCAGACAAAUAACGGCACGAGACAAUGCUAUUGCAUCCAAGGAUACCAUGGGGAGCUGUGUGAGAAGGAUUAUAACGAAUGUCAAAGUAAACCUUGUCAACAUGGCGGACAUUGUUUAGACCGUCAGGACAGAUAUGAAUGUGUUUGUCCUAGGGGAUAUACGGGCGCUAACUGUU